AUGCAGAGCCAGCCCCUCAGCCCUCUCCCUGUCCCACAGCCCAGGGGCGGGAGCUGGGGUGCUGCUGGUAGAGGGUGGGGGGGGCCAGGACUGAGACUGAGGAGAUCUUGGCCCACAGGGGCUCCCCUGGGGCCACUGCCCAGGAGACAGGGGAGGAGACUAGACUAGGGCCCCCAAACCUGCCACUCGCCAGAAAGGACUUUCCAAAUGGAAAAAGCUGCAAGGACUGGUAGGAGUGGAGGGGGAGGGGCUGUGGGAGGCCAGGCCCCUCGGUCCCAGGCUAGGCUCUAGAAAGAAGUGGGUGGGCAGUCUGAGUCCUCCCACAUUUUGCCUCAGUUUGACCAUCUAUGCAAAGGAAUCGUGUAGGCAGGAGAAGAAAAACGGAGUAAUACACAGCGAGCCCUCCAACCCCAGCAGAAAGGACAUGUGUUAUGUGCUCAGGGUUUGGGGUUUUGGGGCUUCUACUUCCUUGGGGGGUUCCUUGCAAUCUCCACCUGUUGUGAUUCUGGAGGCUGAAGAAGCUACUACAGGGGAAGCAGAGCUGUCGUUGUCAGGAAGUUCUCCCUGCAAUCUGCCCUCAAGGCUUCCCACUGUAGUGCUCUGGCCCUGGGCUCACCUGAGAUUGCUGGGGAAAAGAAAGGGUCAACUGGGAGGUUUAGACACGUGGAGAGGGAGUGUGCCUGGCUCUAACAGUUGGAACUGGGAUCAGAGGUGGAGCUGAGGAGGCCGGUCCAAGGAGAAUGCAACACUAAGAGGUGCCCUGGGUUAAGUUCCUGGUGAGAGGAGAGAUGAAAUGGGAAAGGACGUCUCUGUCUGGAGG
Molecule: long non-coding RNA, 820 nt
Organism: Aotus nancymaae (Ma's night monkey)
Lineage: Eukaryota; Metazoa; Chordata; Mammalia; Primates; Aotidae
Source: Ensembl